AUUGAACGCUGGCGGAAUGCUUUACACAUGCAAGUCGAACGGCAGCACGGGGGCAACCCUGGUGGCGAGUGGCGAACGGGUGAGUAAUACAUCGGAACGUGCCCGGUCGUGGGGGAUAACGUAGCGAAAGUUACGCUAAUACCGCAUACGAUCUGAGGAUGAAAGCGGGGGACCUUCGGGCCUCGCGCGAUCGGAGCGGCCGAUGUCAGAUUAGGUAGUUGGUGGGGUAAAGGCCUACCAAGCCGACGAUCUGUAGCUGGUCUGAGAGGACGACCAGCCACACUGGGACGGAGACACGGCCCAGACUCCUACGGGAGGCAGCAGUGGGGAAUUUUGGACAAGAGGCGCAAGCCUGAUCCAGCCAUUCCGCGUGCAGGACGAAGGCCUUCGGGUUGUAAACCGCUUUUGUAUGGAACGAAAAGGCUCUGGCUAAUACCGGGGGCUCAUGACGGUACCGUAAGAAUAAGCACCGGCUAACUACGUGC
This 485-nucleotide ribosomal RNA is filed under the name uncultured bacterium. Its description in RNAcentral is "partial 16S ribosomal RNA". It matches the Rfam family "Bacterial small subunit ribosomal RNA", at positions 29 to 508 of the family's 1533-position model. The record is from RNAcentral.